GCCUACGGGGCGCAGCAGUGGGGAAUAUUGCACAAUGGGGGAAACCCUGAUGCAGCGACGCCGCGUGAGCGAAGAAGUAUUUCGGUAUGUAAAGCUCUAUCAGCAGGGAAGAAAAAUGACGGUACCUGAGUAAGAAGCACCGGCUAAAUACGUGCCAGCAGCCGCGGUAAUACGGAGGAUGCGAGCGUUAUCCGGAUUUAUUGGGUUUAAAGGGUGCGCAGGCGGAGGUGCAAGUCAGCGGUCAAAUUGCGGGGCUCAACCCCGUACUGCCGGUGAAACUGCAUCCCUUGAGUGCGCGAGAAGUA
RNAcentral lists this ribosomal RNA (305 nucleotides) under uncultured bacterium. RNAcentral's name for it is "bacterial SSU rRNA". It matches the Rfam family "Bacterial small subunit ribosomal RNA", at positions 337 to 659 of the family's 1533-position model. The record is from RNAcentral.